AUUAUUUCAAAAAUUUGAAGAGAAAGAACCCCACAAAAGACAAUCUAAACACCUCAAAAUGUACUAUAUAAAAGAAGAAUCUUUCAACCCCCAAUGAUCAUAAACUCUGCAGAAUUUGUCUUAAUCAAUGAACAAACUACACUUUUUAACAAACUAUUUCAAGAACUUGAAGAAAAACAACCCUUUUAAGCAUAAGAGAAAAACCCCUUAUUGGUAGUAAUAUAUUAAGCAAAGCACAUUUCAAACAUUAAAUAAUUUUCUUGACUUAGCUCAUCUCCCACAUUAACUAAAUUCUUGAAAACUUCCUCAAUUUUCCACUUCCUUCCAAGCUAUGAUAAACCAGAAAAAAAAGAGGAGAACCCUUUUACAAGUAGAAUCUUUUACCUAAAUCAAAACUACUAACUUUUCUCUUUCCUCACUUUUUCAACUCAAAUCCACCAAUUCUUUAAACAAUUUUUCUUCAUUUUCUCCACUUCCGAAGCAAUAAAAGAAGCUGACAAAGCCUACUAAUUUUGUAAAUCUUGAUUUUGCUGACAGCUUUGUAGUGUCCGCCUAAUUUUGGUUUAUCUACCCAACAG
This 578-nucleotide unclassified non-coding RNA is filed under the name Hevea brasiliensis (rubber tree). The record is from RNAcentral. Lineage: Eukaryota; Viridiplantae; Streptophyta; Magnoliopsida; Malpighiales; Euphorbiaceae.